Molecule: ribosomal RNA, 352 nt
Filed under: uncultured bacterium
Lineage: Bacteria
Description: bacterial SSU rRNA
Rfam family: Bacterial small subunit ribosomal RNA
Source: RNAcentral
AGAGUUUGAUCAUGGCUCAGGAUGAACGCUAGCUACAGGCUUAACACAUGCAAGUCGAGGGGAAACGACAUCGAAAGCUUGCUUUUGAUGGGCGUCGACCGGCGCACGGGUGAGUAACGCGUAUCCAACCUGCCCAUCACUUGGGGAUAACCUUGCGAAAGUAAGACUAAUACCCAAUGAUAUCUCUAGAAGGCAUCUGAAAGAGAUUAAAGAUUUAUCGGUGAUGGAUGGGGAUGCGUCUGAUUAGCUUGUUGGCGGGGUAACGGCCCACAAAGCAACGAUCAGUAGGGGUUCUGAGAGGAAGGUCCCCCANAUUGGAACUGAGACACGGUCCAAACUCCUACGGGGAGCA